This 87-nucleotide transfer RNA is filed under the name Verrucomicrobiota bacterium. Its description in RNAcentral is "Verrucomicrobia bacterium tRNA-Leu". It matches the Rfam family "tRNA". Rfam says of the family: Transfer RNA (tRNA) molecules are approximately 80 nucleotides in length. Their secondary structure includes four short double-helical elements and three loops (D, anti-codon, and T loops). Lineage: Bacteria; Pseudomonadati; Verrucomicrobiota. The record is from RNAcentral. RNAcentral also lists the same sequence under 1 other name.
GCCGAUGUGGCGGAAUGGCAGACGCAACGGACUUAAAAUCCGUUGGGCCGUAACAGGCCCGUGCCGGUUCGAGUCCGGCCAUCGGCA